Pelobates cultripes (western spadefoot toad) is the source of this 1125-nucleotide non-coding RNA. The record is from the annotation of a GenBank genome assembly. Lineage: Eukaryota; Metazoa; Chordata; Amphibia; Anura; Pelobatidae.
GCUUCAGUCAGAAAGCUGUGUCUACCGGCAGCCUUUAGGAACACAAAUAUGUAUUCCUAACGCUAUAGUUCCCUUGUCACUGUUUAAGUGACCGGCCCUUGCCGCGGCGCUCUCUCCGCAGACCCCCCCCCGCUGUGUGUGUAAUACAGAGACACCCCCUGCCCUGUGUGUAAUACAGAGACACCCCCUUCUCUGUGCGUAAUACAGAGACACCCCCUGCUCUGUGUGUAAUACAGAGGCACCUGCUGCUCUGUGUGUAAUAAUACAAAUAUUAAGCCUGUGGAGUUUCAGGUAGUGGGGUCCAUUAGAACGUAGGUUUCAUGUGCAACAUCACUUAAUCAUAGUUGGGAUAAAAACAAACAGAAUGCAUUAUUCAUGGUUUCACACUGGGAUCAUAUAAAUAUAAUGUAAUUCCCCGCUUUAUUAAGUCCUCAGGAUCCAGGGCAGCUGAAUAAUAAAACAAUAAUAAAAUUAAAAAAAACACAUAGCUUAAACAUAAGCUAGACACAUAAACCAUACAUCACCAGAUAAGCCAAAUAUCCAGCACCAGAAUAUGAUGUACUUAGCCUUAGAGAUUGGCAAAUGAAGUUUGACCGGGCUGAGGCCAUGAAAUGAGCACCUGGUCCCAGCCUUCUAGAGCAGUAUUAUGGGCUGGUCUUACAGCACUCGGUGUUGUGGAGGCUAGGAGAGGAGCAGAGGUAGGGCUGGGGAUGAUUAAGUUUUGUUGUGUAAUAGAGUUCUGCACCAGUUGCCAUUGUGAACCUGCAGGCUAUGCCAAAGUAUUAAAAUCCCUCAGCCAUGGGUAGGGUUCUCAAGACAUUUGUAGCAGCAUGUCUAAUUAUAUAUCUCUCUAUCUGUAACCAUACCUAGGAUCAUUAAGAGAAGGUGGGAGUCUGGGAGAGGAAAUAUAUAGAGGGUCAAAGGGCAAAAAGGGAGCAUGAAGCCAAUAACUUCAGGAACAAAGAGCCAUUAUUACAUGCAGACUGUAUAACUUACAUUAGUUAGUAAUAGGUUCUGUGUAGACAAGACUUAGUCUGGCAUACCAUUGUAUAUAUGUAAUAUAGAUGUAAUUGCUUGUUUCAUUGUCCUUGUCUCUGUGCACACUUAUUAUAUACUUUGACUUAG